Molecule: ribosomal RNA, 429 nt
Filed under: Bacteroidota bacterium
Lineage: Bacteria; Pseudomonadati; Bacteroidota
Description: Bacteroidetes bacterium partial 16S ribosomal RNA
Rfam family: Bacterial small subunit ribosomal RNA
Source: RNAcentral
UAGGGAAUCUUCCGCAAUGGACGCAAGUCUGACGGAGCAACGCCGCGUGAGUGAAGAAGGAUUUCGGUUCGUAAAACUCUGUUGUUAGAGAAGAACAGCGCAUAGAGUAACUGUUAUGCGUGUGACGGUAUCUAACCAGAAAGCCACGGCUAACUACGUGCCAGCAGCCGCGGUAAUACGUAGGUGGCAAGCGUUGUCCGGAUUUAUUGGGCGUAAAGCGAGCGCAGGCGGUCAAUUAAGUCUGAUGUGAAAGCCCCCGGCUCAACCGGGGAGGGUCAUUGGAAACUGGUUGACUUGAGUGCAGAAGAGGAGAGUGGAAUUCCAUGUGUAACGGUGAAAUGCGUAGAUAUAUGGAGGAACACCGGUGGCGAAAGCGGCUCUCUGGUCUGUAACUGACGCUGAGGCUCGAAAGCGUGGGGAGCGAACAGG